This is a long non-coding RNA of Sander lucioperca (pikeperch), 742 nucleotides long. RefSeq lists it as uncharacterized. Lineage: Eukaryota; Metazoa; Chordata; Actinopteri; Perciformes; Percidae. The transcript is spliced from 5 exons. The record is from RefSeq and is a predicted model, not a curated record.
UACAACACUAUUUAAACCCCCUCACUUGCCCACAGACGUUUGAUUGCUAGUCCUCCAUAUGGGUGCUAAUGUAAAGCUAAUAGAAUAGAAGUUGGAAGCUCAACUUUUUAGCGGAAGAAGAGAGGAGCUGCAGGGAAUACACUGACUCACAUCCAGGCCUCUGCAGUGAAUUUCUUGCUUCAAAUGGUUGUGUAGGUGCGUCUGGCUCCCCUACAUUCAAGAAGUGCAACACCUCCGUAAAGGAAUCUGGAGGAGAGAUGAAGCUGCAGAGGAGAUGAAAAUAUUCUGCAGGGAUCAUUGUUGCUGAAGGAUUACGAGGGAAACUGGCUGUUUUCAUCCUCUGUUCCUCUGCAUGGACGUCUCAGAGUAGAGCACUUGACUGCUGAAGGACACUUAGCAUUUACCUGCAUGGGAUCUGCUGGAUUAUUACCUGAGUGACACCUGGGCAGACUGCUGACGUGGCUUUUUACAGAUCAGUUCCUGGUUUUCAGUGAUUGGGACUGUUACCUGAUGUCUCUUCCUGCGACCGGCAGCCAUUGCUUCUCUCCUCCUAUGGUGUAUCUCGUGCCAUCUGAAGUGGCAGAAUUAAAUUAGGGUUGUAGUCUUAUCUUCAUAGUAUAGCAUAUAGUUACUAUAGUAUAGUAAAGCAUGAAUGAAAUUCAUAUUAAUUUUGUUGUCUUUACGUACACGUCUGUGUUAAUACUUUUGAUGUCUCUCUCGCUUGGCAGUGUUUAAUUUUAAA